This 153-nucleotide small nuclear RNA is filed under the name Pogona vitticeps (central bearded dragon). Its description in RNAcentral is "U1 spliceosomal RNA (ENSPVIG00000024526.1)". It matches the Rfam family "U1 spliceosomal RNA". From Rfam's summary of the family: U1 is a small nuclear RNA (snRNA) component of the spliceosome (involved in pre-mRNA splicing). The record is from RNAcentral. Lineage: Eukaryota; Metazoa; Chordata; Lepidosauria; Squamata; Agamidae.
AUAGUUACCUGGCAGUGGAGAUACCAUGAUUAUGGAGAUCGUUCUCCCAUGUGAGGUUCAUCUACUGCUCUCCAAGUGUGCUAACCCCUGGGAUUCCCCAAAUGUGGGAAAUUUGACUGCAUAAUUCACGGUAGUCAACUGUGGGCCGCAGAC